CCGCCUCCCAUUAGCUGCGCUCCGGCCGCAACUCCCACGAGGGCGGGGAGGGCGCCCGUUACCUGCGCCGCGGGAGCGGCGGCGGCGGCGGCCUGGCUGGGGAAGUGGGCGGCGCCCCUCCGCCUCUCAUUCGUCCCGCGGCCCGGCAGGAGACGUGAGACGCAGGCGGCCCGGGUCUCCCCGCUCGCCGCGGCCGGGCCAUGCUGUGCCGUGUCCGCCUGACGCUGGUGGCGGCGGCGCUGCUGGCGCUGGGGGCCCCGCGCGGCGGCGGCGCCCGGCUCCUGGAGUGGUACACGGCGUGGGUGAGCACCGCCUACACCGAGCCGCUCAGCAACCGCACGGUGCGGGGCAGCGCCGAGAGCGGCCGCUACGGGGACAGCUCCCCCAAGGAGAGCGCGCAGGGCCUGGUGGGCAUCCCCCGCGGCGCCUCCGCCCGCCGCAUGGAGGGCUGCGCCUCGGACACCGACUACGACGUGCCCCUGCCGCCGGGGAGCCGCGGCCCGCCCGGCGGGGAGCCGCCGCCGCCCUGGAUCGCGCUGGUGGCCCGCGGGGGCUGCACCUUCAAGGACAAAGUCACCAACGCGGCCCGGAAGCGGGCGGUGGCCGUGGUGAUCUACAACGAGCCCCGCUUCGGCAACGCCACCGUCUCCAUGUCUCACCUUGGAACGGGCAAUACAGUGGUAAUUAUGGUUGGAUAUCCAAAAGGGAUAGAAAUUUUGGAACCAGUACGCAGAGGGAUUCCAGUAAAAAUGACUAUUGGUGUUGGCACAAGACAUGUGCAAGAAUAUAUCAGUGGACAGUCAGUUGUGUUUGUAGCCAUCGCUUUUAUCACCAUGAUGAUUAUAUCACUAGCCUGGCUUAUAUUUUACUAUAUACAACGUUUUCUAUAUACUGGGUCACAAUUUGGAAGCCAGGGCCACAGAAAAGAAACCAAGAAAGUGAUCAACCAGCUUCAGUUGCAUACUGUGAAGCAUGGAGACAAGGGUUUAGAUGUUGAUGCAGAAAAUUGUGCUGUGUGCAUUGAAAACUACAAACCGAAAGAUAUUGUCCGAAUUCUGCCAUGCAAGCAUAUCUUUCAUAGGACCUGCAUUGACCCCUGGCUGUUGGACCACAGAACUUGUCCAAUGUGCAAACUAGAUGUCAUCAAAGCUCUGGGAUACUGGGGUGACCCUGAAGAGGCACUUGAAGUUCCAAUACCUGAAUCAAUAAGUGGCAGUGUAUCAGUAGGAAGUUUGAGUAUUGCUUUACAAGAAGAUGAUAGAAACGAAGUAAGCGAUUUGUCAGCCUCCUCAACUAAUGAAUCUGUGCUACAGUGUAACAGUUUAAAAGAGGAUGCAGGUGAAACCACAGCAUUGCUUGACCUGGAUGGCAGUGAUAGUCGGCAUGGAGAACAUCUGUCUAACGGAAAUUCCCACUGAAAACUUCAUGGAAGACUCUCUGAUUAGACUGCUUAACGAACUUCUUAUUUAAUUAGUAUGAACUUUUGCCUAGUUGAUGGGAAAAAUAACAAUGUAAUUUAUUUUACCUUGAGAACUUUUCUAGUUCAUAUUCCAAAAGGGCUAAUAACUAAGAAUUUUGUAUAAAGAGGAUUUUUUAAAACUAGUCUGUCUGAUCCUAUGAGAGAUGCAAUACCUCUGUUGAUACAAGAAUUAUUACAAUGUCAGUGUGUUCCAGAGGGCUGUAACAAAGGUGUAGACUAGGAUGAGAGAACAGAAUAUAAAAAGUUUAAUGGAUAAAUGUUGGUUACACUGUGUUUACGUUUAGCAUGUACAUAAAGCUGAAAGCAUUUACAACACUACAUUUUAUUAAACCGUACUUGAAAAAAAAAUUACAUUUUGCUGUAACUGGAGCUGGAUGUUUAAGAAGCAUGCAAAAUAGAUUUGUGAAAAUAUCAAAUAAUUUCUUUGAUAUUACAUGGCAUCUUCCACUCCUCCCACCACUGGUUGAAAAAUAAUUUAUCGCAACUUUCUUAAUAUUGUUGGUUCUUAGUGUUUUCCAACUCAGAGCUGAGUACUUAAAUUUUUCCAGCUUGUUAACUUCUAGCAGUAACAGUUGACUUCAGUGUCUUUGCUGGACAGUCUUAACAUGUUGAGCGUGUUGACUUAUCUAGCAUUCAUGUCAGUUACCUCCCUCUCAAUCUUUAACUCAGUAAAACAGAGUAGAAAAGGGCUAUUAUGGCUAGGGAAUUUAUUUCUGUUUUAGACUUCCCUGAUUUCCCUCUUACACUCUUGUCCCCAUUUCCAUGUACACAAGUUGGGAUCCCUCCUUAAGAUCUUUUUAUGAAGCUAGGGGUCUUUGCUUUUGUCCCAUAAACUAGGAAAUUCCUUUUGGCUAUUUUCCAUUAUGACUUUGGGGUUGUCAUUAGUUUUUUCCUUUGCUAGAUUAGCAGUAUUGUGCCUUAUAGUUGUGGGUGUUUUGUUUUUUUAAAAGCACUUAUUACUAAACCCAAAACAUCAAAGAUGAAAUAUCAACCCCUUCUUUUUGACAUCCUGUUCGGAUAGUUACAUACAAUAGAUAGUAUAAGGAAAUGCUAAAUUGUUUUGUAAAGAACGACGUAUGUUUACAAUACUGUGUACAUUUUAAUAGUGUUGAAUUCUUAGGCUUUUAGUAUUGUCAUGUUACAAAUGAAUGUAUAUGGUACAUUCCUCAGACUUUUUGUAAAGUUGCUUAAAGCAGUGUCUUUUGUCAGGCAUUUGUUCAAGUGCACUUUGUUUCUAAAACAAUGUGUAUUUGGAAUGUUUUUAAGAAAAUGAAAAUAUGCAAUCCUUUUCUAAUUUGUAUUGUGCUUCAAUUGGAGCAGUAAUUUUAUUUUAGAAUGAAUGUUCCAGAAAUGAAGGUUUUCAACUGAGGGAAAAAAAUGAGCAUUUACUUUACCAAACAGUUCAUAAUCAAAUAUUUGUUUUUCCAAAACGUUCUCAGUAGUGAUAACUUAAGAUCUGCCUCCUCCUCCCCCCUGCCCAGUAGGAUUGCCCCCUGGUUAGAUUUCAUGGAAUAAUUGUCAGGGCAUAGUUCUCUCAUUUCACCAGCAGGUGCAACUUUUGUGAUGCCUCUAUCUGAUGAGAAGCACAUGGGGAAGUGGAAUAUUUAAUAACUGACAUCCCCAUCUCCAAACAGUUUUGAUGCAUAGGAACCAGUAUGCCUCCAAAGCAAGCUCAUCUUUACUUCCAGGACUGCCUUUUUAAUUUACUCUUUAAUAUAGCAACUGAGUCUUCUCCCUCUUCCUUAACACAAAGUUGAACAUUCUUAGUGGAUAAAUGUCAAGAGGGUCACAACUCCAGUUCAUCAGUCAGGAGCCUGUAGGAAGUUAUCAGACACAUUGGGAGUCUCCAGAUGAUGCAGAUACCUGCAAGACAUGGAAUCCACAUUGAAGGGAGCAUUGUGGUGACAUGGUGUGAAGAUUCCAGAACUGGAAAUAUAAAAGAUGCACAUACAUAAAGUUAGUGUUUUCAUGUAUUCAAACUGGGUACUGAACUCUGUUCUUGGAUAACUUGCCAUGUGGCAAAAUUUUGACCUGAGAUUGUUAAAGUAGGAUAUCUUUGAUUGUUUGCAUGUAUCUGUGUAAGAGAAUUCAUUACCAGGGAACUUAACAAGUCCACCUAUACUCUAAUUGGACAGGGAUCUAAUUUAGUAGGUAUCACUUAUACUGUAUUCCAUCUACAACAUGGUAUUGCUGCAUUUUUAAUUAAAGAAUAUAUUUCAGUCUGAAAAACAGGAUGAGAAAGUGUAACUCCUACCGAAUUAAUGAAAUACAGUAAGUAGUUGAGAGCUUUAGUUUUUUUCUUAAAGCCCUAAGUCAAACUUAAUUCAGUUAAGUUUGAUGUUUAUAGUGAAAGACUAUGUCUGCAAGUAAUUGCUAGUUGAACUUGCUCACUGAGUUACCAUUAAUAUUUGAAGGUUUCUUGUUCUUUCAGUCACCAGGUGGAAUCAUCUGAUAUUUAAAAUGAACGCAUUAAAAACUUAACAGGAAAAUGUGUUAGUUUUGAGUCCACUGGUGGGACUUUGCCUUUGAUUGGCAACUACAGGGACUGCUUUGGUCUAAUGCUUAGGAAAACAUUCAAUCCACAGAAAUAACUUGUUCAAACUUGAUUGAUAUUGAGCAAAACCAGAAUGAGUAAACUACUACUCAAACUGUUUGACUUUGAUAAUGGCAAGCCUAGUGCUAACUUUUUAAUAAACUUGGUUGCACUGAUUGGAUACAGUACAUCAAACUUUUUUCAUUGUAUACUUUAAACUAUUUAAGAAAAUGUUGAAUUAAAGAAAUCAAUGUUAUGUAUUGUGUAUUUAAAAAGUUAUUAGUAAAAAAACCUAAAAUCCUGUAAGUUGUAUGGGCUUAUUAAAUGGAAUGGUAUUAAAAAACUUGA
Non-coding RNA from Caretta caretta (loggerhead turtle), 4361 nucleotides. The record is from RefSeq and is a predicted model, not a curated record. NCBI's taxonomy places the organism in Eukaryota, Metazoa, Chordata, Testudines, Cheloniidae.